CUUUCUUCAUGGUGGCCGCCAUCUUGAGGACUGAACUAUUUCCCUUCCUCGGUGGGGAGGUUUCUUCCCCACCUUCCUAUCUUUCCCACCAGCUUCGACUUUUCUUUGUGUUCUUCUUAGAGACAUAUUAAAGCGGAAGUUGGUACGGUCCACAGUCUAGCGUCGAAAGGGACGAAGAAGGCUCGUCGUCUGGCUGAAAGAAGGAGGCGGGGAUGGAGGGGUGCAAUGCGAGGCUAUAAACGGUAGGUGGCGCAGUGGGCCUUCUAAUGUUAAUGGUAGCGGUAGCGAAUAUGUUGGAUAAUAAAGAGAGAUUAAGGAGAAGCCUAUUAAACAUCAACAUUCAAUACACAGUAAUGCUAUGUAGUAAUUACUGUAUUUACGAAUUUAGCACCAAAAUAUCACGAUAUAUUGAAAACAUUGACUACAAAAAUGCAUUGGAUAAUCCAGAACGUUGGAUAAGCGAAUGUUGGAUAAGUGAGACUCUAUCGUAUAUGAUAUUAUGUUGUAAUAUAAUAUAGUAUAUAUACUACAACUUAUGCUAUAGAACAGUCUAUAUAUAUAAAAGAGUGAUUGCAUCAGGGCAGCGGACAAAACAACAAAACUACAGGCGCCCCAACCUCGAAAUUUGACAACACAACCCAUCAUCCACGGCUCUAGGUUGAUACAACAAAAAGAAAAGAAAAAUAAAGUCUUAAUUAGAGUGAGAGGAAAAAUUGUUUUUAUCCAAUUGCUGCCAGUUACAAGGCUAAGUUCCGCCCACUUGG
Long non-coding RNA from Anolis carolinensis (green anole), 764 nucleotides. RefSeq lists it as uncharacterized. NCBI's taxonomy places the organism in Eukaryota, Metazoa, Chordata, Lepidosauria, Squamata, Anolidae. The transcript has 2 exons. The record is from RefSeq and is a predicted model, not a curated record.